GGUAGGAUGGUUGAAUGAUUAGACGGGGGGCUGUAAAUCCCCAAAUGGGGGUUUGACUCCCCCUCCUAUCA
This 71-nucleotide transfer RNA is filed under the name Darevskia clarkorum. RNAcentral's name for it is "tRNA-Tyr". It matches the Rfam family "tRNA". From Rfam's summary of the family: Transfer RNA (tRNA) molecules are approximately 80 nucleotides in length. The record is from RNAcentral. Lineage: Eukaryota; Metazoa; Chordata; Lepidosauria; Squamata; Lacertidae.